This 1350-nucleotide long non-coding RNA is filed under the name Marmota monax (woodchuck). The record is from RNAcentral. Lineage: Eukaryota; Metazoa; Chordata; Mammalia; Rodentia; Sciuridae.
CCUGGUGAUAGCAGAUCCCAUCACAUCAGACUUUGUUAUUGGUCCUGAUAGCUUCCACCUAUGUAGCUAGCACUACUUUGCCUUCUGUGCUAAUGUGUGUGAAGGCAACCGUGGUGCACGUCUUUCUGUGGGCUAAAUGUUCUAGUCUGGCCUUCUCCUCGAUUAAAUAUUAGGGAACUCCCAUCUUAUAAUAUAGGGAAGACGGGAAAACAGUCUGCUGGAUGGGAUCCACAUCAUGAGAAAUCAUCACCAGCUAUGUUGCCUUGUUUUCCAUCAAGGUAGUGAUAGUGUUAACCUCUGCUCCAGGGACAGGCGCUCUCUUAGUGGGGACAUACUCUUUGUUGGCAGCUUUCCUUUCAGCCCAGCCAACAGUCUCUGCUUCUUCUCUUGCUUUUGUCUCUGGUCUGUACUUGUUGAUUGGCUUCUUAAGCAGUUGGGUAGCUGUUCAGUGAUCUAAAUAAACCCUGGGCAAACUGGUUAAUUGCAGUAGGUACUUUCACCUGUGUGUAGAGGUUAGUCCUUUUGCCAUUUGACAAAGCUGGUGAGGUCCCUUUUGGGUUGUAUGUUCUAGCCAGUUCCCAAAAUCUUAGGUCUUUUCUCAAAUGGAGAGGACUUUUACCACCUUCUUUUUUGUUUGCUUCUUCACAGCAGCAGGCGCUGGGGCCAGUCUCUUACCUUUGGUUAUCUUUCCUUUUGGCAUCUUUGGUGGCUAAAAGGAACAUUGAGGAUAUUCUUAAAUGAAACUGGCAUUAAAAAACAAGAACCAGGUCUGCGGUAGUAGCUCAGUGGUAGAGUACUUGCUAAGGACGUGUGAAGCAGUGUGUCUGAUCCUUGGCACCACAGAAAAAAUAAAUAAAGGUAUUGUGUACAUCUGUAACUAAAAAAACCCCCACCAAAAGCAAAAAAAAAAACAAAAAAAAAAAAACAAGAAACAGCCAGGUGCGGUGGUAAAAACAAAACAAAAGCAAGAAAGAAACUCCCAAAAGCUACAAGUCCUAGGUGGUUAAAAAUACGAUGAUUAUGUAGUAUUCAGUUUGAUGCCUCUGUCUUGAUUCCUGCUGAGGUUCUAGCAGAUUUGUUCAUCAUUUCUUUUGUAUCAUCAUUAUAAAUGUCAAUUACAAUUAAAAAGAGGAAAAAACCCUUAAUAUUAUAAUGAAAAUAAUUUUGACCUAAUAGACCUGAAGUUUUAGAGAUCCCCAGUUGUCCAUGACCUACACUUUGAGAAGAGCUGUAGUUUUGAUUUAUCAAAGUCUAAUUGGUACUUCUUCCCUUAGGCAAUGCAAGUGUUAAUGCCUAUACUUUCCAUCCCCAUUCUAUCCUUGCUCUAUAUAUGAACUCUAUGUUUUACAC